CGGACGGGUGAGUAAUGUCUGGGAAACUGCCCGAUGGAGGGGGAUAACUACUGGAAACGGUAGCUAAUACCGCAUAACGUCGCAAGACCAAAGAGGGGGACCUUAGGGCCUCUUGCCAUCGGAUGUGCCCAGAUGGGAUUAGCUAGUAGGUGGGGUAACGGCUCACCUAGGCGACGAUCCCUAGCUGGUCUGAGAGGAUGACCAGCCACACUGGAACUGAGACACGGCCCAG
RNAcentral lists this ribosomal RNA (232 nucleotides) under uncultured bacterium. Its description in RNAcentral is "partial 16S ribosomal RNA". It matches the Rfam family "Bacterial small subunit ribosomal RNA", at positions 99 to 334 of the family's 1533-position model. The record is from RNAcentral.